AGUGAACGCUGGCGGUAGGCCUAACACAUGCCAGUCGAACGGCAGCACAGUAAGAGCUUGCUCUUACGGGUGGCGAGUGGCAGACGGGUGAGGAAUACAUCGGAAUCUACUUUUUCGUGGGGGAUAACGUAGGGAAACUUACGCUAAUACCGCAUACGACCUACGGGUGAAAGCAGGGGAUCUUCGGACCUUGCGCGAUUGAAUGAGCCGAUGUCGGAUUAGCUAGUUGGCGGGGUAAAGGCCCACCAAGGCGACGAUCCGUAGCUGGUCUGAGAGGAUGAUCAGCCACACUGGAACUGAGACACGGUCCAGACUCCUACGGGAGGCAGCAGUGGGGAAUAUUGGACAAUGGGCGCAAGCCUGAUCCAGCCAUACCGCGUGGGUGAAGAAGGCCUUCGGGUUGUAAAGCCCUUUUGUUGGGAAAGAAAAGCAGCAGGUUAAUACCCCGCCGUUCUGACGGUACCCAAAGAAUAAGCACCGGCUAACUUCGUG
RNAcentral lists this ribosomal RNA (492 nucleotides) under uncultured bacterium. Its description in RNAcentral is "partial 16S ribosomal RNA". It matches the Rfam family "Bacterial small subunit ribosomal RNA", at positions 29 to 507 of the family's 1533-position model. The record is from RNAcentral.